GAUGAACGCUGGCGGCGUGCCUAAUACAUGCAAGUCGAGCGAACAGACGAGGAGCUUGCUCCUCUGACGUUAGCGGCGGACGGGUGAGUAACACGUGGAUAACCUACCUAUAAGACUGGGAUAACUUCGGGAAACCGGAGCUAAUACCGGAUAAUAUAUUGAACCGCAUGGUUCAAUAGUGAAAGACGGUUUUGCUGUCACUUAUAGAUGGAUCCGCGCCGCAUUAGCUAGUUGGUAAGGUAACGGCUUACCAAGGCAACGAUGCGUAGCCGACCUGAGAGGGUGAUCGGCCACACUGGAACGGAGACACGGUCCAGACUCCUAGGGGAGGCAGCAGUAGGAAAUCUUCCGCAAUGGGCGAAAGCCUGACGGAGCAACGCCGCGUGAGUGAUGAAGGUCUUCGGAUCGUAAAACUCUGUUAUUAGGGAAGAACAAAUGUGUAAGUAACUAUGCACGUCUUGACGGUACCUAAUCAGAAAGCCACGGCUAACUACGU
RNAcentral lists this ribosomal RNA (496 nucleotides) under uncultured bacterium. RNAcentral's name for it is "partial 16S ribosomal RNA". It matches the Rfam family "Bacterial small subunit ribosomal RNA", at positions 28 to 506 of the family's 1533-position model. The record is from RNAcentral.